Molecule: ribosomal RNA, 459 nt
Filed under: uncultured bacterium
Lineage: Bacteria
Description: partial 16S ribosomal RNA
Rfam family: Bacterial small subunit ribosomal RNA
Source: RNAcentral
CCUACGGGAGGCAGCAGUGAGGAAUAUUGGUCAAUGGGCGUAAGCCUGAACCAGCCAAGUCGCGUGAGGGAUGAAGGUUCUAUGGAUCGUAAACCUCUUUUAUAAGGGAAUAAAGUGCGGGACGUGUCCCGUUUUGUAUGUACCUUAUGAAUAAGGAUCGGCUAACUCCGUGCCAGCAGCCGCGGUAAUACGGAGGAUGCGAGCGUUAUCCGGAUUUAUUGGGUUUAAAGGGUGCGUAGGCGGAAUAUCAAGUCAGCGGUAAAAAUUCGGGGCUCAACCCCGUCGUGCCGUUGAAACUGAUGUUCUUGAGUGGGCGAGAAGUAUGCGGAAUGCGUGGUGUAGCGGUGAAAUGCAUAGAUAUCACGCAGAACUCCGAUUGCGAAGGCAGCAUACCGGCGCCCAACUGACGCUGAAGCACGAAAGCGUGGGUAUCGAACAGGAUUAGAUACCCGGGUAGUC